UUUGGACACACACACACACACACACACACACACACACACACACACACACACACACACACACACACACACACACACACAGCUCAGAUGUCUGCUGCUCCACUUUGGAAUCUAAUCUGUCUCUUCCUCCUAGCAGCCAAUCAGAGGCAGCCAUUGCUGCACCAACAGCCAAUCAAUUAACUUUAACUUGAGGAAGGAUCCUCUCCUCUCCUCCCCUCCUCCUCCUCUCCUCUCCCCUCCUCCUCCUCUCCUCUCCUCUCUCCCCUCCUCUCCUCUCCCCUCCUCCUCCUCUCCUCUCCCCCUCCUCCUCUCCUCUCCCCUCCUCCUCUCCUCUCUCCCCUCCUCUCCUCUCCUCUCCUCUCCCCUCCUCCUCCUCUCCUCUCCUCCCCUCUCCUCCCCUCCUCUCCUCUCCUCUCUCCCCUCCUCCUCCUCCUCCUCCUCUCCUCUCCUCUCCUCUCCUCCCCUCUCCUUCUCUCUUCUCCUCUCCUCUCUCCCCUCCUCCUCCUCUCCUCUCCUCCCCUCUUCCUCCUCUCCUCUCCUCUCCUCCCCUCUCCUUCUCUCUUCUCCUCUCCUCUCUCCCCCUCCUCCUCCUCCUCCUCCUCUCCUCUCCUCCUCUCCUCUCCUCUCCUCUCCUCUCUCCCCUCCUCCUCCUCUCCUCUCCUCCCCUCUCCUCCUCUCCUCUCCUCUCCUCUCUCCCCUCCUCCUCCUCUCCUCUCCUCCCCUCCUCCUCCCCUCCUCCUCCUCUCCUCUCCUCCCCUCUCCUCCUCUCCUCUCCUCCCUCUCCUCUCCUCCCCUCCUCCUCCUCUCCUCUCCCCUCCUCCUCCUCUCCUCUCCUCUCUCCCCUCCUCUCCUCUCCCCUCCUCCUCCUCUCCUCUCCCCCUCCUCCUCUCCUCUCCCCUCCUCCUCUCCUCUCUCCCCUCCUCUCCUCUCCUCUCCUCUCCCCUCCUCCUCCUCUCCUCUCCUCCCCUCUCCUCCCCUCCUCUCCUCUCCUCUCUCCCCUCCUCCUCCUCCUCCUCCUCUCCUCUCCUCUCCUCUCCUCCCCUCUCCUUCUCUCAUCUCCUCUCCUCUCUCCCCUCUCCUCCUCCUCUCCUCUCCUCCCCUCUCCUCCUCUCCUCUCCUCUCCUCCCCUCUCCUUCUCUCUUCUCUCUCCUCUCUCCCCCUCCUCCUCCUCCUCCCCUCAUCUCCUCCUCCUCCUCUCCUCUCCUCUCCUCUCCUCUCUCCCCUCCUCCUCCUCUCCUCUCCUCCCCUCUCUCCUCUCCUCUCCUCUCCUCUCUCCCCUCCUCCUCCUCUCCUCUCCUCCCUCCUCCUCCCCUCCGCCUCCUCUCCUCUCCUCCCCUCUCCUCCUCUCCUCUCCUCUCCUCUCAUCCUCUCCCCUCCUCCUCCUCUCCUCUCUCCCCUCCUCCUCCUCUCCUCUCUCCCUCCUCUCCUCUCCUCUCUCCCCUCCUCUCCUCCUCCUCUCCUCUCCCCUCCUCCUCCUCCUCCUCUCCUCUCUCUCCCUCCCUCCUCUCCUCACUCUCCUCUCCUCCGCCUCUCCCUCCUCUCCGCCUCUCUCUCCUCUCCUCUCCCUCCUCUCUCU
Cottoperca gobio is the source of this 1573-nucleotide long non-coding RNA. Lineage: Eukaryota; Metazoa; Chordata; Actinopteri; Perciformes; Bovichtidae. The record is from Ensembl.